UUGGCAAUCUCAAACACAACAACAAAGUAAAAUGCAAUGUUAUUUGGCCCUAAAAAGACAGUACAAUAUGGCA
Molecule: non-coding RNA, 73 nt
Organism: Pangasianodon gigas (Mekong giant catfish)
Lineage: Eukaryota; Metazoa; Chordata; Actinopteri; Siluriformes; Pangasiidae
Source: the annotation of a GenBank genome assembly